UAGACUCAACCGUAGCUUCCUAAGUUGUAUUUUUUUUCUGAAUAUUCUAAAUAUUUCUCCAGAACUGCAUUCCAGCCCUUUGCGGGAUAUGAGGCCAAUUGAUAAUCUAACUCUGAAUACUUUUGGAAACUUGAGAACAAGCUGUUUGUGUUCCCAGAGAUUAUGAGUUAGGGUUAACAUUCCAUAGUGUUGCUCAAAGCUUAUCUUGUGAAAGAAAAGACAAAGCAUCUGGGCACAGAAUCAGUUUUCAGAUAGAUGGACUGACAAGUGAUCUGCCUAGUUCUGAACUGCCGUCUUGUCCCUAAGAAAGGUUUUGCCUUUCCUAGUUGCUUCUAACCAUGAAGGUUUUAACCAUUUUGAUUCUGUUAGAAAUUACAAGCUGCUUUCCUGCUUUUUCCAGUAGCAUUUCUCCAGUCCAUUGCAGAUGGAAUCCAUAUGGUCCUUGGUCAGAGUGUGAUGGCUGUACUAAAACACAG
This is a non-coding RNA of Python bivittatus (Burmese python), 476 nucleotides long. The record is from RefSeq and is a predicted model, not a curated record. Lineage: Eukaryota; Metazoa; Chordata; Lepidosauria; Squamata; Pythonidae.